UACAGAGGUCUCAAGCGUUGUUCGGAUUCAUUGGGCGUAAAGGGUGCGUAGGCGGCGCGGUAAGUCGGGUGUGAAAUCUUGGAGCUUAACUCCGAAACUGCAUUCGAUACUGCCGUGCUUGAGGACUGGAGAGGAGACUGGAAUUUACGGUGUAGCGGUGAAAUGCGUAGAUAUCGUAAGGAAGACCAGUGGCGAAGGCGGGUCUCUGGACAUUUCCUGACGCUGAGGCACGAAAGCCAGGGGAGCAAACGGG
RNAcentral lists this ribosomal RNA (253 nucleotides) under uncultured bacterium. RNAcentral's name for it is "partial 16S ribosomal RNA". It matches the Rfam family "Bacterial small subunit ribosomal RNA", at positions 524 to 776 of the family's 1533-position model. The record is from RNAcentral.